This 290-nucleotide long non-coding RNA is filed under the name Triticum aestivum (bread wheat). RNAcentral's name for it is "long non-coding RNA (TAES_LNC011599)". Lineage: Eukaryota; Viridiplantae; Streptophyta; Magnoliopsida; Poales; Poaceae. The record is from RNAcentral.
CUUCCCCGGCCAGCUGAACUCUGACCUCCGGAAACUCGCAGUCAACUUGAUCCCGUUCCCUCGCCUCCAUUUCUUCAUGGUUGGCUUUGCACCACUGACCUCAAGGGGUUCUCAGCAGUACCGUGCCCUCACUGUUCCUGAGUUGACCCAGCAGAUGUGGGACUCAAAGAACAUGAUGUGUGCUGCUGACCCGCGGCACGGCCGGUACCUCACAGCCUCUGCCAUGUUCCGUGGGAAGAUGAGCACAAAGGAGGUUGAUGAGCAGAUGCUGAACGUCCAGAACAAGAACU